This 637-nucleotide ribosomal RNA is filed under the name uncultured bacterium. Its description in RNAcentral is "bacterial SSU rRNA". It matches the Rfam family "Bacterial small subunit ribosomal RNA", at positions 56 to 684 of the family's 1533-position model. The record is from RNAcentral.
CGCAAGUCGAGCGGAAACGAAAGUAGCUUGCUACUAGGCGUCGAGCGGCGGACGGGUGAGUAAUGCUUAGGAAUCUACCAAGUAGUGGGGGAUAGCCAUUGGAAACGAUGAUUAAUACCGCAUAUAUCCUACGGGGGAAAGCAGGGGACCUUCGGGCCUUGCGCUAUUUGAUGAGCCUGAGUGAGAUUAGCUAGUUGGUGGGGUAAAGGCCUACCAAGGCGACGAUCUCUAGCUGGUCUGAGAGGAUGAUCAGCCACACUGGGACUGAGACACGGCCCAGACUCCUACGGGAGGCAGCAGUGGGGAAUAUUGCACAAUGGACGAAAGUCUGAUGCAGCCAUGCCGCGUGUGUGAAGAAGGCCUUCGGGUUGUAAAGCACUUUCAGCGAGGAGGAAAGGUCAGUAAGUAAUAUUUGCUGGCUGUGACGUUACCCGCAGAAGAAGCACCGGCUAAUUUAGUGCCAGCAGCCGCGGUAAUACUAAAGGUGCAAGCGUUAAUCGGAAUUACUGGGCGUAAAGCGCGCGUAGGUGGUUUGUUAAGUUGGAUGUGAAAGCCCAGGGCUCAACCUUGGAACUGCAUUCAAAACUGACUCACUAGAGUACGAGAGAGGUUAGUGGAAUUUCCUGUGUAGCGGUGA